This 75-nucleotide transfer RNA is filed under the name Terriglobia bacterium. RNAcentral describes it as "tRNA-Met". It matches the Rfam family "tRNA". Rfam says of the family: Transfer RNA (tRNA) molecules are approximately 80 nucleotides in length. RNAcentral also lists the same sequence under 1 other name. Lineage: Bacteria; Pseudomonadati; Acidobacteriota; Terriglobia. The record is from RNAcentral.
GGCGGGGUAGCUCAGUGGUAGAGCGAGGGUCUCAUAAUCCCUAGGUCGGGCGUUCGAUCCGCCCCCCCGCUACCA